RNAcentral lists this ribosomal RNA (777 nucleotides) under uncultured bacterium. RNAcentral describes it as "bacterial SSU rRNA". It matches the Rfam family "Bacterial small subunit ribosomal RNA", at positions 60 to 845 of the family's 1533-position model. The record is from RNAcentral.
AGUCGAACGAACUUAAUACAUUCUUUUAGAUUGUAAGCGGUUAGUGGCGGACUGGUGAGUAACGCGUGAGUAACCUGCCUAUUAGAGGGGAAUAACAGUGAGAAAUCAUUGCUAAUACCGCAUAUGCUCACAGUAUCGCAUGAUACAGUGAGGAAAGGAGCAAUCCACUAAUAGAUGGACUCGCGUCUGAUUAGCUAGUUGGUGAGGUAGAAGCUUACCAAGGCGACGAUCAGUAGCCGGACUGAGAGGUUGAACGGCCACAUUGGGACUGAGAUACGGCCCAGACUCCUACGGGAGGCAGCAGUCGGGAAUAUUGCGCAAUGGAGGAAACUCUGACGCAGUGACGCCGCGUAUAGGAAGAAGGUUUUCGGAUUGUAAACUAUUGUCGUUAGGGAAGAAAAAAGACAGUACCUAAGGAGGAAGCCCCGGCUAACUAUGUGCCAGCAGCCGCGGUAAUACAUAGGGGGCAAGCGUUAUCCGGAAUUAUUGGGUGUAAAGGGUGCGUAGACGGGUGUCUAAGUUGGUUGUGAAAUCCCUCGGCUCAACUGAGGAACUGCAACCAAAACUGGAUAUCUUGAGUGUCGGAGAGGAAAGUGGAAUUCCUAGUGUAGCGGUGAAAUGCGUAGAUAUUAGGAGGAACACCAGUGGCGAAGGCGACUUUCUGGACGAUAACUGACGUUGAGGCACGAAAGUGUGGGGAGCAAACAGGAUUAGAUACCCUGGUAGUCCACACUGUAAACGAUGGAUACUAGGUGUAGGGUGUUUAAGCACUCUGUG